This 428-nucleotide ribosomal RNA is filed under the name uncultured bacterium. RNAcentral describes it as "bacterial SSU rRNA". It matches the Rfam family "Bacterial small subunit ribosomal RNA", at positions 355 to 776 of the family's 1533-position model. The record is from RNAcentral.
UGGGGAAUUGUUCGCAAUGGGCGCAAGCCUGACGACGCAACGCCGCGUGGAGGAUGAAGGUCUUCGGAUUGUAAACUCCUGUUGCCCGGGACGAAAUGCUCCAACCUAAUACGUUGGAGUUUGACGGUACCGGGUGAGGAAGCCCCGGCUAACUCUGUGCCAGCAGCCGCGGUAAUACAGAGGGGGCAAGCGUUGUUCGGAAUUACUGGGCGUAAAGGGCGCGUAGGCGGCCUGCUAAGUCGAACGUGAAAUCCCUGGGCUCAACCCAGGAACUGCGUCCGAUACUGGUUGGCUUGAAUUCGGGAGAGGGAUGCGGAAUUCCAGGUGUAGCGGUGAAAUGCGUAGAUAUCUGGAGGAACACCGGUGGCGAAGGCGGCAUCCUGGACCGAGAUUGACGCUGAGGCGCGAAAGCCAGGGGAGCAAACGGG